Molecule: transfer RNA, 65 nt
Filed under: Curculionoidea sp. 26 KM-2017
Lineage: Eukaryota; Metazoa; Arthropoda; Insecta; Coleoptera
Description: tRNA-Trp
Source: RNAcentral
AAGGAUUUAAGUUAAACCCCAAACUCUCAACCUUCAAAGUUGGAAAUGCCUUCUAGUAAGCCUUA